GUCGAGAAUCUUCCGCAAUGCGCGAAAGCGUGACGGAGCGACACCGCGUGAUGGAUGAAGUCCUUCGGGGCGUAAACAUCUUUUAUAAAGGAGGAAAUUUUUGACUUUACUUUAUGAAUAAGGGGCUCCCAAUCUCGUGCCAGCAGGAGCGGUAAUACGAGAGCCUCAAGCGUUAUCCGGAAUCAUUGGGCGUAAAGGGUGCGUAGGUGGUUUGAUUAGUCUCCCGUUAAAACUUCGAGCUUAACUCGAAAAGAGCGGGGGAAACGGUCAAACUAGAGUAUGUGAGAGGUGUGUGGAACUCAUGGUGUAGGGGUGAAAUCCGUUGAUAUCAUGGGGAACACCAAAAGCGAAGGCAGCACACUGGCACAUCACUGACACUGAGGCACGAAACCUAAGGUAGCGAAUGGGAUUAGAAACCCCGGUAGUCC
This 428-nucleotide ribosomal RNA is filed under the name uncultured bacterium. Its description in RNAcentral is "partial 16S ribosomal RNA". It matches the Rfam family "Bacterial small subunit ribosomal RNA", at positions 354 to 796 of the family's 1533-position model. The record is from RNAcentral.